This 235-nucleotide ribosomal RNA is filed under the name uncultured bacterium. RNAcentral describes it as "partial 16S ribosomal RNA". It matches the Rfam family "Bacterial small subunit ribosomal RNA", at positions 118 to 347 of the family's 1533-position model. The record is from RNAcentral.
UGAGGAACAUGACCUUCGGCGGGGGAUAGCCGGCCCAACGGCCGGGUAAUACCGCGUACGACCACAUGGGGACAUCCCUGAGUGGUGAAAGCAGCAAUGCGCCGAUGGAGUGCCUCGCGGCCUAUCAGCUAGUUGGUGAGGUAACGGCUCACCAAGGCGACGACGGGUAGCCGGCCUGAGAGGGCGAUCGGCCACACGUGGGACCGAGACACGGCCCAGACCUCCGUACGGGAGG